GGGGCUGUAGCUCAAUGGUGGAGCAGGGGACUCAUAAUCCCUUGGUUCUCGGUUCGAGUCCGGGCGGCCCUACCA
RNAcentral lists this transfer RNA (75 nucleotides) under Adlercreutzia mucosicola. RNAcentral's name for it is "tRNA-Ile". It matches the Rfam family "tRNA". From Rfam's summary of the family: Transfer RNA (tRNA) molecules are approximately 80 nucleotides in length. Their secondary structure includes four short double-helical elements and three loops (D, anti-codon, and T loops). RNAcentral also lists the same sequence under 7 other names. The record is from RNAcentral. Lineage: Bacteria; Bacillati; Actinomycetota; Coriobacteriia; Eggerthellales; Eggerthellaceae.